AAAACGAAAAAAAAAAAAAAUUGAGAAAGAGAGAGACGAAGCGGAGAACUCUAAUGGAGAACUUUAGCUCAGUAGUAGUGGAGGAACCUGGAUACUCCGAUUCAUUAUCUCCCAUUUCCGAACCACCAGAUAUUAGGAAUUGGUUUCCCAGUUAUGUCUAUGAAUCGGUACCAUCAUGUUCUUCAAUCAACGACAUUGGAAACGAAGUCGAUGU
Non-coding RNA from Camelina sativa (false flax), 214 nucleotides. The record is from RefSeq and is a predicted model, not a curated record. Lineage: Eukaryota; Viridiplantae; Streptophyta; Magnoliopsida; Brassicales; Brassicaceae.